This 2127-nucleotide long non-coding RNA is filed under the name Salmo salar (Atlantic salmon). Its description in RNAcentral is "lncRNA (ENSSSAG00000113415.1)". Lineage: Eukaryota; Metazoa; Chordata; Actinopteri; Salmoniformes; Salmonidae. The record is from RNAcentral.
GAUGAUCGCAGAAACACCGAUGAAUCGUUGUCGCUUUGCUUAGUGUUCUGCUUCGCACCUGCGUGUUUGACAGUUAGCCGCUAGCCAGACACCUAGCCAGGGAGAGGCUAUACCAAAGACGGUACAUCAUGAAGAUCAUCGGGCACGCUUGUUGGCGAUGUUGGCUAGCAAAGCUCAUACGUAGAAACACGUUAUCGGGUCGUCUCGCGCCGAACUGCGCAUGUGCAUGUCGUCAACUCAGAGGCACUCCUAUAUAAAGUUGUUUUUGACGAAAAUGAAAACGUGUCAGUUUGUGACUCUCACAGGGUUGGAGUAAUAACAAGUUCAACUACAUAAGACAUUGGCUCGAAUCUAGGUUGUUCCUUUAGAUUUCGAGAAAACGUAUAAGUAAGUAAGAUCCCGGAAGUCUCGCGAUGUUACGCCUUCUGUCUUUGGCUAUAUGGACACACCUGGUGCCCAAAUUGAUGACGUAUGUAAGUAUAUCGCGCAGCUGAGAGUCAAGUGUGGAGUUUUGCAAUUGUUUUAGAUGCAAUUCCCGCAGAUGCGGAUUUAUUAUUGAGGAACGUGUCAAGACCUGGGCCCUGUUUCAGAAAGCAGGUUUAACAAACUCUGAGUUUAAACCUGAACUCUGGGUUGACUAACUCUGAGCUGUCAAACUCUUGAGUUUUCGGUUUCAGAGGAGGUGAUAACAAUUAGUUCAAUCAACUCUGAGUUAAGUUAACCCUGAGUAAAGCACGUGCAUGAGGAGAUAAAAAGCCCUAAUCAAAGGAACGCAGAUAACAUGAUUCAUCAUGGCAACAGGAGAAAAGGGCUCCAACCUCCUACUUGCCCAGUGGAGUUAGAAAUAUUAACAUAUGCAGAAUAUGAGCAUAUAUUUAAGGAAAAAAGCAAUGCAGCAGCAAAAGAACGUGAGUUGGCGUGGCAGAAAAUUGUUGAUCGAGUCAAUGCCCACUGAAGAUGAAAUAUACUUCAAACAGUGUUACCUCAGUGACACCCACCCAUCCAUCUGACACAACUUUGCACACUGAUUUUCUUUAGAGGUACAAUUAUUUGUAAUUGACUUGUUACUUUUUUCAGAUUCUUAGUUGUCCUUCAGAUGUCAUAAUCUAUUUUAAGGUGACUCAGAAUUAUAUAUUUGAAAAAUUGUGAUGUGGCCUACACACUGUUGUAAAACCAAAAUUCAAAUUAUGUGGGGCACUUUUCUGGGUAAAGUUACAAUUGAACUGUCUAAUCUUAAUAUUCUACCAGUUACUGAUGGUGUAAUCUGUCUGGAGCCUUCUGCCAUAACAGACCUCCAUGCAGUUGAGGAUGAAGACACCUUGUCAGCUGCCACAGAGAGGGAAAAUACAGAGAGGCCUAUUGACGUUUACACCUUAAAAAUUACAUCUAACAGUUGAUGGUGUUGUACCAUAAUAAAACUUGCACCUUUUUCUCUAACAGAGCAAUGCUGGAAAUUACACCUACACAGCACAAUUUACCUCAGUAAGAUUUUGUUCAGCAUUGGCCCAUUACUUACAAUGAAAUUAAGUAGACCUGGCACUGAAAUUCAAUGUCAUUUUUUUGUGUUCCUAUAGCUCCCUGUGAAACAGCUGUACUAUGUGUACUUAAAGAACCAAAUUGAAAAAUGUAAUUUAGAUUUUACUUGUUUGAACAUAAAAGUAUUACUGUACUGCAUUUGUACUUGCAGGAAAUAAAGACUUCAUAAAAAGAAAGGCAUAUUGUCUUUAUUUGACACUGGGGAGGUGAUGGGUCAAUUAGAAAUGAUGGUAGCAUAUUGUGUCUGACUGCUCUUCCAUCUUCUGCGUCAGCGGGGUGGUGUCAGGAACGUUCACUGGUUGAGGACAUUGUUCUUCUCUUGUGGGGAAUCACACAUGCCACAAUGUCACGUGCCCUUUCUGGGGUGACCCUGAGCCUACGAAGGCACUGGAACAGGGCCUUGAGCAUCCCAAAGGUCAUCUCUACCCUGGAUCGUGUCCUGCAGUGAGCCAAGUUAUAACGUUGCUGCGGGCUAUGCCCAGGAUCAGGGUAAGGGGUCAGCAAAUAGAGCUGGCAGGGGUACUCUCUGUCACCAAGCAGGUUACCAUUGAACUCUCCUAUGAUAAUACGAGGCUACAGUUUAAAUUUUCA